This 21-nucleotide non-coding RNA is filed under the name Caenorhabditis elegans. Lineage: Eukaryota; Metazoa; Nematoda; Chromadorea; Rhabditida; Rhabditidae. The record is from RNAcentral.
UCAUGCACAGUAAACUUUACA